CCUACGGGAGGCAGCAGUGAGGAAUAUUGGUCAAUGGACGAGAGUCUGAACCAGCCAAGUAGCGUGAAGGAUGACUGCCCUAUGGGUUGUAAACUUCUUUUAUAUGGGAGUAAAAUGUUCCACGUGUGGGAUUUUGUAUAUACCAUAUGAAUAAGGCUCGGCUUACUCCGUGCCAGCAGCCGCCGGAAUAACGGGGAGCCGCGCGGUAUCCGGAUUUAUUGGGUUUAAAGGGCGCGUAGGUGGGUGGGUAAGUCCAUUGUGAAAUUUUGGGGCCCCAACGUAAAAUUGCAGUUGAAACUGGCAGUCUUGAGUAAAGUAGAGGUGGGCGGAAUUCGUGGUGUAGCGGUGAAAUGCAUAGAUAUCACGAAGAACUCCGAUUGCGAAGGCAGCUCACCGGCCUGCAACUGACACUGAGGCUCGAAAGUGUGGGUAUCAAACAGGAUUAGAUACCCGAGUAGUC
RNAcentral lists this ribosomal RNA (460 nucleotides) under uncultured bacterium. RNAcentral's name for it is "partial 16S ribosomal RNA". It matches the Rfam family "Bacterial small subunit ribosomal RNA", at positions 338 to 795 of the family's 1533-position model. The record is from RNAcentral.